AAAAAAUAUAAUCUCAGACAAAUUUCACACAAAAUGCAAAACAAUAACUGCAAAAAGCCUCAUAUUAAUGUUGCCGUGGUGAUGAACACAAUUAACUCGUAUUAAUAACACGUAAUACUCCAUGUCUACUGACCCUAUGUUCUUAACAAGAUGCUAUAAUGUUCAAAAUAUUUGAACUUAAACUAGAGUUAGAAAAUUUAAAGUUUUAAAUGGAAUUUUUUUUACAGCAGGAGAAAGUGGGGAGAUCGUGACGAGUGCCAACGCUGAAGCUGAGGCUGAAGCCUUUAAUGGUUUCCUCACCGUCCUCCUGGAGGAGAUAAGGGACAAGAACAACCUGCCUCUGGGUAAGUAAAGAAAUUAACUUCCAAUGAAGAAACAGCAUUUGUAUUACACAUUUAAAGAUAAAUUGAUAAAGUGCACUAUAAUAAUGUAAGAAAACUUUUUUUUGUUAUAACAGCUAAAUAAAACCCCAACUGAUAUUGAUGUUACAGGUCAAUCAGCUCAGCAACGGAUUCCAUUAAUACUGGACUUAAUGCAUAGUUCUCCAUAUCUACUACUCAUAUAUCACUUCUUAAGCACUGAAUCCCUAAACAGAAACACUGUAAAAGAUUGUUGUAUUUAAUAGGCUUUUGUAAAUUAAAUGAAUUUUGAGUUCCUGUGGCAUUAAAUAACUCAUAGAUAUUUACCGGGAUGAAGCGGUUAUUAAUAUUAAUAUCAUCUCAUGAUGUUAGUAAUGUACCUGGAGAACUGCUGAUAUUAAAUUAAAAUAAAUUAAGAAUUGAAGUGAAACACUUGCUCAGCCUCAUUUAAUAGAAUCUAAAGUUUUCAUUGUGAAUAAUGUGACUUUUUUCAGAAGAAGUUGAGGCUGAAGCUCAAGAAAGAAAUCCAGAAGAGGCUGAAACAGAGAAUAGCACAUCUCUGGGUGAGUAGGAGCAAGCACUCACACUGAUAUACCUCUUUAACUGUAAAAUAAAUUUCACACAAUACCUCCAAAAAUAAACUACUCAAAUAAACACACACACAAACAAACAAACAAACAAAUAAGUACAUAAGUUAAUUAAUUGAUUAAAAGCUGAGGCUGCAGUACAGCUAGUGGACGGUAAACUGGAUGAAACUAUACGUAAUUUGUAAAAAUAUUUAUAAGUGAAAAUUGUAAUUAUGAAAAUGUUCAGUAAAGUAGAAAUAAUAAUAUUAUUUAUGAUUGUGACAUUAUACAUUAUUUCCGAAAGAUCAAGUAAACGGCAAUAAUACAGACGGGCCUGUUGAAAUCACUGGGAAUGGAAACGAGAAAAAGAAAAGGACCAGGAGAGGGACACGAGGCAAAGGAAGAAAGAUAAAUUACAAAAAGUUCCAGGACAACAAAGCAGCUGAGGCCAUAGAAAGACCACCAGAAGAUGCAGAAACAAUGAACAGCACACCUCUGGCUGAACAGAAUGGAGGGAGGAAAGAGCUGAUGGACGCCAAAGCAUCAAGAGACCAACAUAAAAGACAGACACAAAGAAAGCCACAGACACAGUCACAUGUCUGGACACACCGUGACAGAGCCUGCGAGUCAGGGUGGAGAGGACCUGCUCACUGGGACCGGAGAGACAGGAGAAUCCCGAGAAGAUCAACUCAAGACACACCAUCACAUGCUGGAGCCUGAUCUGUUGAACAGCACACACUCACACACACACACACACUCUAAACCCAAUGCACACACUAACACACAUAUACACACACAAAACCAAUGCACACAAACAUGCAUACACAGAAAACCCAAUGAACAAACAAACACACACAAACACACACACACAAAACACCCCCGCCAAGCCCCCAUCCUAACCU
Molecule: long non-coding RNA, 1827 nt
Organism: Pangasianodon hypophthalmus (striped catfish)
Lineage: Eukaryota; Metazoa; Chordata; Actinopteri; Siluriformes; Pangasiidae
Exons: 3
Source: RefSeq, a predicted model, not a curated record